CUCAUUUUUCUUAUGUAAUAGGAUGUUGGAGAGCUAUAUUGACAAGGUUCUCUGUGAACGGAAGGGAGUCCGUUUUGAUAUGAAAUGGCUUGCAGAUAUGGGACACCCAGUUGUUGGUGUGGAUAUAGCUGAGAUUGGGUAUCAGGCAGUUCUUUGAAGAUCAGAAGUUGAUCUACAGUGAAGAAGUGGUCCCAGCAAUACCCGGUGCCAAGGUUUACAAGUGCCAUUGAGCCACAGAGGCUCCUUGGUGGCCAUCAAUCCACGGGACAAAGAAAAAGUAAGACCACGUGAACUGGACCUCCCUCUGAGAUUCAACAGGAAAGCACAGCUUGUUUUGACACAAGUUACGUCUGUAACAGGUAUGCAGCACUGAUCAUGUCGUCCGUGGACAAGGACUGACGAUACCUCUUGGACACUUAAACAAACAAAGAAAUACAAUUCUGAAUAGUUCAAAGGUGAGAUCUUCCCCUGAAAUAACAGCUCAAAUGAUAUUUGUCUUCCAUUUGUUCUAGAUGCAUGUGAGUAGCAUAUUUAUUCAAACAUACAGUCGAGUAUGCGUUUAGUUUAUUAACCUUCCAUUGUCAUUCGUUAACACCUCUCUAUAUGUCCUCCAUUUUAUGUGCCUUGUGUAAACAGACUUUCUGGUGAGUUUUAUUAAUACAAUUGUGUUUGUCAUUGAUAGUACCUUUAUUGAUAUUCCUUUGUAUACCUGUCAUUGAACUGUAUUUGAUAUUUAACACAAAAACCAAUUGAGUGAAAUAUGAGAAGAUAUUGUAGGAGAGAAUUGUGGCAAGGUAGUUUCACAAUAUUCAUUUGAUUUGAUAUGUAUUCCAGGGAGGAGUUGUGAUAUUGAGUUUAUACAGUCUUCAGGUGCUCUCUCAGGCGUGAAGGAUAAGGAAUGGGGCUUGGAUGUCUUCAUAGGACGACAGGGAGAGAUGUCUGAGCGAAAUAGCGCAUUGAAAAUGAUUGUCAGGAUAUUAGAUGUUCUGUGAAGGUUUGAUGUUGUUAUUAGCUUUGUUGACAGUUUGGAAAUGACCUCAUGUCGAAAUAUGCCAAGUCAAUUCUUUCAUAUGGGAAAUGAACUGAAUUUACAGUGUUUUUUAAAUGUCUGGCAUUUAAAAUAAAAUAAAAAUA
This is a long non-coding RNA of Oncorhynchus tshawytscha (Chinook salmon), 1134 nucleotides long. RefSeq lists it as uncharacterized. The transcript has 3 exons. NCBI's taxonomy places the organism in Eukaryota, Metazoa, Chordata, Actinopteri, Salmoniformes, Salmonidae. The record is from RefSeq and is a predicted model, not a curated record.